AUGGCCGGCGAGAAGAAGAUGUUCGGCUUCGAGGAGGUCGCCAAGCACAACGUCGCCAAGGACUGCUGGCUCGUCAUCGCCGGCAAGGUGUAUGAUGUUACCCCUUUCAUGGAUGAGCAUCCUGGUGGAGAUGAGGUACUGCUGGCAGUAACCGGGAAAGAUGCAACCAGCGAUUUCGAAGAUAUCGGACACAGUGAUUCCGCAAGGGAGAUGAUGGAGAAGUACCACAUCGGGGAAAUUGAUGCUUCAACCAUCCCAGCAAAGCGUACAUUUGUACCUCCUCAGCAAGGGUCCCAUGUCCAGGCCAAGGAUAGCGACCUCCUCAUCAAGAUCCUGCAGUUUCUUGUUCCCAUUUUAAUCUUGGGGCUUGCAUUUGGUAUCCGGCACUACAGCAAAUCUGAGUAG
RNAcentral lists this ribosomal RNA (405 nucleotides) under Triticum aestivum (bread wheat). Its description in RNAcentral is "partial small subunit ribosomal RNA". Lineage: Eukaryota; Viridiplantae; Streptophyta; Magnoliopsida; Poales; Poaceae. The record is from RNAcentral.